UAUGGUAAGGGUAGGAUGAUGGAGGUUUUAUGGUGCAACAUGGUCGAAUUUAAGUGCUGGACCUUAAUCCUGGCUUGGCUGCUGGUAUGUUCGAGCUUCAGUGCUUGGAAGUGAUAGACCAAAUGUGUGAGGGGUAUGCACGACUGAUCCCGUAAGCUGUUCAAGUUGUGGGGCUGAAUAUUACUCCGCUAUGCUGAGGAAGUGGACUUUUGACCCGUGCACUUUUAUGUUUUGUUUUUGAGCCCAAGUGUAGGAGAAAAGCUUAGGCUUGGCUAGUUACUAAGCAGGGUAUCUUUUGUCUAUCAUGCUUAUUAGAUUAGCUGUUGGUGUUUGUAUAAGGGUUGAGAUACCCCUAAAGUAUCCCUUUAAUUUAC
RNAcentral lists this long non-coding RNA (374 nucleotides) under Phaseolus vulgaris (common bean). RNAcentral's name for it is "long non-coding RNA (PVUL_LNC001778)". Lineage: Eukaryota; Viridiplantae; Streptophyta; Magnoliopsida; Fabales; Fabaceae. The record is from RNAcentral.